This 36569-nucleotide long non-coding RNA is filed under the name Nicotiana benthamiana. Lineage: Eukaryota; Viridiplantae; Streptophyta; Magnoliopsida; Solanales; Solanaceae. The record is from RNAcentral.
CUACAAAAACCACAACAUAUGGGUUCCCUUGCUCCUUUGCGGCAUGAACAUCCCUCAGAAUAUCAAUGGAGCGUUUAGGAGUUAAGAUGCGAACAAGGGCCUCCUCCAUUGCUGCCUGUGGUUUAAUCAAUUCAACACCCCAUAUUAGUAUGUACAAACUAAACCAAUAAGGAAAAAAUAGACUGAUGAGACAUUUGAAGUUUUGGCAUGCAAUUAUUCGAUUUUGAAAACAUCCUUCCAAUUUUAAUCUUCUAUUUUCGUUUGGGGCUGUGUGUGUGUGUNNNNNNNNNNNNNNNNNNNNNNNNNNNNNNNNNNNNNNNNNNNNNNNNNNNNNNNNNNNNNNNNNNNNNNNNNNNNNNNNNNNNNNNNNNNNNNNNNNNNNNNNNNNNNNNNNCAGUUGUAUACAGUUCCAAAGACCUUGGACUUAGGCACUUCUCAAAUGGCAUUGUUCCUCCAAGUUAGACUAUAUUAAAGCUAUGACUAUAAGUGCUCUACCCUGUACAUGAUUAAACGUUCCAAUUCUCUUACCUGAACUGUUGAAGAAAUUCUUGUAAAUGAGGCAAGCUUUUUACCCUCCAGACUUGCCGCGACUGAUUCACAAAGCUUUUCAGCAAUUUCUUCGGCCUGUAAGACAUUCAUAGCACCCAUCAACCAAUUAUAUAAUAAGAACUGCUGAGACAAAUAUGGUCACCAAUCAAAGUAUUUUGCUCUUCUCUUCUCUUUCUCCAUCUUUUGGGAGGAGGAAAGAGAUAGGAAGGGGACAGGGAAGAGCAAAGCAAUUGGCAAACUUACCACAUUCUUGGUCAUCAGCCUGUCCUUAAGAGCUUUUAAUGCUGGUUCUAAGUCGGCCUUCUCCAAAUUAGCCUUUCCUGCGAUACUGGAGAAACAACAGCAACACGGGUUAUGUCCAACAUUUCAACAAUCAAAAAUAGAGAUCCAUUAUCUUGAAAGAGAAACUGUAUAUGUCAGUCUUUUCCCAUCAUUCUGGAAUAUUUUUCAGCUUCUCAUAUAAAACCCGAACAAAUUAUAGUACUUCUUUAGUGUCCGCUAAGCAAAUUAGACCAAUUUCAUAGUGAUUACGAAUGGUGUGAGGACUCUAUGAUACAAAUAUCAGCCAUUCUGUCGGACUAAAUUUCCAUAAAGAUAAACUUUCCUCUUUUUUUCACAAACAAGAAGAAAAUGAUCAAGACUAUAUAAUAAAGUUAUGAACAAAAGAAAGAUAUAAUAAUACUGGUAAAACGACUUUUUCCCUUUUCUGAAAUCAAGGGAGGAUGAGAAUUUUACCUCUGGAACAUGGAUGAGAACCAACCUUUCUUCUUUCCCUCAACCUUGCUGUCUUUCCCUGGCUCCUCAUCCUCCUCGGUCUCACUGUCACUACUCACAAUCUCCUCUUUGUCCAUCAUACUCUCACCUUGAACUGCUGCCACAACUGCUAUAUUCUCAUUCCCAUUCUCACUCAUAGGAUCCGUGAAAUCCAAUUUUGACUCGGUAGGUGAAUCAUCCCAGACUCUGUUCUUCUUUAUCUUUUUUGUAGGCUCUGCCUUGGAACCCUUUACAACAUGUGAAAUCCAAUUUCGACUCGGUAGGUGAAUCAUCCCAGACUCUGUUCUUCUUUAUCUUUUUUGUAGGCUCUGCCUUGGAACCCUUUACAACAGUAUCGGUUGCCUUCGAACCCUUUAUAACAGUAUCAGUUUUCUUCCCACCUUUAGCCCUAAGCUUCUGUAGCUUAUUUACAUCAAAAGCCCCAGAAUCAGAACUUCCAUUCUCUUUACCGUUAGCCUGUACUACUACAUUUCCAUUACUACUGUUAGAAUGGCCAUUUUCCAUAGCACGACUUUUUACUUUAUCGCUAUCGCCACCAUCACUUCCUGAUUCAGAACCACUCUUUUUUUUAUUACCUCCAUUCAUAAUGCCCUUUUGCACUUGUCCUUGCUUCUUACCUAGAUUAUUGGUGACAGGCUUGCCGACCUGCUUCGACUUCUUCAUUUCCUCAGCACGCGCCUCAGCCUCCUUCCUAAGCUGCUGAAAAACAUCAUCAAAUUCAUUGUAAACAGUCUUUUUGGGGUCAUAAAUCUCCGAGAAUUCCCGCUUAACCAUAGCAAGCAAUUCAUCCACAUACAAAAGAUGAAGAAUUCGCUGAUACACAGCAACAAACACAAGCCCCAGUUCAUUGUGAAACGUCCAUUUAAGAGUGUAUGCAGCUCCUGGUGCAUCAUAAUUAUACGAAGCAGCACCUGAACGUUCCUCCAAAAGACAUGAACGAAUCAACGUGUCAAUUGGAGAACCUCUGAGAGCAUUUCCAAGCUCUUUACAUGUCCAGAGGAUCAAGCCCCCUCUGGUGAAUAUCAGUAACUGCUCUAACAUCUUUGGAUUCUAAAUAUACCCCUGCAAACAAAAAAUUUUAGGUUAACAUAAACUCGCUUCAGUCGACAAAUUGAACUUCUUAAAACAGAUGAAAAUAAAACUUGCAGUCUUGAUGAAUGCAGCUGGAAAAAGAGAACCAAAAUCCAGGUCCUAUAACAGAUUCAACGGAUGGAAGGAACAUUUCUUUGCAUAAAAUAGGAAAGAAAAAGCUUAAAGAACAUAACUUGGGCACAAUAAUAAUGCUUUAAAGAUUUCCUAGAAUUUAAAGGGCUAAAAAAACCACAAAAUAAUAAUCAAUCAACUACACCACAAUCAUAAACUUGUUAGUUCGACUAAAUGAAAGGGCAGUGCCCCUGGUUCGUAACGGUGGCUUACACUAUUUAGCUAGGUCAAAAUUUUAUUUUUAUGUAUAUAUGCUAUAUGUUCACUCCCUUUAUUUGCUUCCAAGUGUUUAUCUUUGUAUAUUUUAACACCCCUUAGUAAAAUUCCCAUCUCCACCACUAGUUCUAAACUCGAUGUAUAAUGGACCUACCCAUCUCCACUCAAAUACCAGGCUGUUAUCAGCAGCAGAGUUAGAACACGUGAAGUGCGCCUAACCCACACAACGAGCUACACUCUUACCCCUAGAUCAAAGCCCUAGGGGCAUAUCUACUUUGCUCUAUUCAGAUCCACUUCUUUCUCAAACCAAUAAAUAAUUUAUCUUUUAAAGCAAACCAAGGAUUUCCUAAGCUAAAAUUUAUAGGUUAAGAAAAAGCACAUAUAUUGAAUUUAACGUCCUGCGCAUACACAAGAGAAUUAAAAAUCUGAACUUUCACUUAAAACAGAAAAGCAUCAGAUUCAUGAAAAUCCCACAAAUCCUCAAAGCAAAUCAAGAAAAAAAAAACAAAAAUCCACCAAAUCUUUUUCAUAAUUCAAGCAAUCAAACUACAACCAAAAACUAUCUAAAAAAUUUUACAAAAAUCAUUUCCUCAAUUAAACAAAAAAAAAAACCAACUCAGAUCGCACCACAAAAACCCCAAAUCCAAGCACCUUUUAAACAAUAAAAAAUAUCCCAGAUCGAAAACAACAUAAUAAAUCCAGCUAACCCAAAAACUAGGGGGGGAAAGGCAAGGAUUAGAAAUAAAUAAUAUCAGUAACUUUAAUUAGAAUUUAGAAGUAAGAGGAUGCUAGUUAUUCAUACCUAUGAAUUUGUGAAAUCAGGAGGAAAAGGCAAAGGAAUGAAUUGAAAGGGAAAAAAAACGAAAAUGAAAAAUUUAAGGCAAAGAUGCUAAUUUUAGAGUAUUUAUAUGAAAAAGACGUCAGCUUUGACUUUUUUCUCCGUGUGAAGACCAAAUUGUCCUCUAUUAUCACGAAAUUAAUGUGUAACUUCAUAUUUGAAGCAAGGAAUUUCAUCUAAAGAAAGUGGUAAAACUAGUAUGGGCUAGUCAGUUUUCGGACUAAUUAUUUAAAAAUAGCUAGCGUUUAUAGCCAUUAUUUUGUUGCAAACACGGAAAGUUUCAGUAUAAUAUACUGGAAAUCGGUGCACCUAUAUAUAAAUUUCUAAUAUAUUAUGAUAGAACUCCAACAAAGAAAGUUUCAGUAUAAUAUACUGGAGUUCUAGUAUAUUAUACUGGAGUAUUUUUCUGAAUUUUAAAUAAUAUUUUCGUUCAAAUUUAUCUUUAUAUGAAAAGUAGCUAAAUUCGAUUACUUUUGAAAUUGUGAUUAUUUUUAAAUGACCACUUGUAAAUUUAAUUUUUCCCAAGAAAGUAUAAUAUGUUUGUAUUUGUAUUGAGACCCGAAUAAAUAUGAAUUUACACCAAAAAGUCUUAUAUUAAGGGUAAAGUAAUUUUGACAAUAUACUGCUAAGGUUCGAAGCCGAGACUUUUGGUUAAUAAGGUUUCGUUGUACUCAAGCAUUGAGAAUGAAAAUAAUUAUAGUAGGAAGCUCUUUCUUUUUAAUAUGUCUGGCACGAAUUUGAAUUAAUAGGAAUUAAUAGAUUUCGAUUAUUGAAUAAUUAUAUUAUUACAAAUUUACAAUAACUAACAUGUUUCAAUUCUAAAUAUAAUUGGGUCACUUAUAAAAAUUCUCGCCAAUAUUUUUCAUAUACCGAAUAAUUAUACUAAAGAAAGUUUCAUAUAAUUCACUUUAAAAUUAGAACUCAUGAAUUUGAAUAAGCACAUUAAUAACUUUUCCUUUUCAAGUUAAAAUUUUAGAUUUAUUUUAUUCAUGUAGGCAAUGAAUUUGAUUUGGUUGUUAUAAGAAAUUUAAAAGAUUUUGGUAUGUAACUAAUGUUUUUUCAAAUUAUAUUCACACUGAUUAAUCAUAACUUUGUAAAGUUCAUAAGUGUAUUAUUUUUUUUACCUAUUUAACUUACAAAUUCAGAUAUAGUUUCUUAAGUUUCAAGUCAAUUUUAUUUUGUUACUAUAAUCUUCAUCAUAAAGAAGAUAUUACUUCCAAUUUCAAGAUUUUGGUUAGAAGUUCAAAUAUUCAGUGUAAAAGAAAUUCUUGAUGCAUAUAAAUAGCCGUGAUAUAUCGUUUCUUAUAACCUCGAAAACAACAACAACAACAACAACAAUCUAGUAUAAUCUUAUACCUACCCUUGGGUAGAAAGGCUGUUUCCAAAUAGACCCCCGACAUACUUCCCUCCAAGAACUUCUCACCUUGCUCUUGGGGAGACUCGAACUCAAAACCUCUCGGUUGGAAGUGGGGGUUGCUUACCAUCAGAGCAACCCCUCUUGUCUUAAUAACCUCGAAAACAAUUGAUCAAUAAACUUUAUAAAUGUAGAAUAAGAAGGUGAAGGGCAUCAAAAGAUCCACAUGCUCAAGACUAAACGAGCCUACCACCAAAAGAUGUGAUGCAGUGGAUGAGACUGAUCUUCCCUUAACCAAAGAUCAUAAGAUUGAGCCUUAGGUAUAAAAAAAUUCUUGGUAAGAAGCAUUUCCCCCCGAAUGAAACCUUACACAGCACGAAUUUAAAUAUAAUAGGGCUCUAAUAUAAGUAUCGGACACCCGAUGAAAAGAAAAAUAAGCCUAAUCAAAAUAGGUUCGGCGAGUUUGAAAUGCGAGAAGAAGUUUCAUGAGGAAACGAGGUAAUCAAAUUUGAAGCUUGGUUAAAUUUAUUGCUCUCCAUGUAUAACCGUUUAAAGCAAUUAGAAAAUGAGACUACAUCUUCGCUAGGGUGUUCAAACCGAACCGGAAAAUCGCACCAAUUGAAAACUCAAACUAAAUCGAUUAAAAAAUCCGAUUAGGUUUGGUUUGACUUGAUUUGAUAUCGAAUAAAAAAUCCGAGCCAAACCGACAUAUAAUAUAUAAGUUUUAUUUAUAUUUUUAAGAGUUUAUAGUGAUUUUUCUUUAGAAAAUGUAGAAAUAUUUGGGAUCCUCUCAUGUAUUAACCCUGAAAGCGUAAAUUAGCGAAAAAUUAUUAUUAGACGACUAAGAAAAUAAUUAUCAUGUGUUAUUAAAAAAUUCUCUAAUUAGAAUAUUUUAAUAGAUCAUAUGUUUGUCAAUUUUUUCCAUAUUUACUAAACAUAUAUUCACUUAUCAAUGCUUUAUCUAUUAUUUUAAUAAAGUAAGACUGAAGUAAUAUUCAUAUUAAAAAUUUGAAAAAUCCGAUAAAACCAAACAAAUCCAAACCGAUAUAGGGUUUGGUUUGAUUUUGGUAAAAACCAAAUCAACACGAUCCAUGUACCCCUACUCUUCGCCACAAAACCCUCAUGAAAAUGUAAAUAAUGCACCUAAUGUUUCAUAAAUAAAUAUUCCCUAAAUAAUAUCAUUUGUCAAAAUCCUAGGCAACAAAAAUUAUUGAUAUAUGCAAACCAAUAAUUUUUGUUUCCUAGGGCUUUGAUAAGUGAUUUUAUAUGGGAUUGAUUUAUUUACGAAGCACUAGGUGUGUUAUGUAUAUUUUCUCGAGUGGCUUGUGACAGAAGAUAAAAUCUUAUUCUCUAGUUGCUUUAAACGAUUAUUUAUUGUGGAAUAAUAAAUUUAACCAAGCUUCAUAUUUGAUUACCAUUAAAAGAGGUUUAGCAGUGAGUAAAAGAGUAUUAUCAUUAUAUUUAUUUUAUAUAAAACAUUUAUGGGUUUGAGUUAUAGAAACAACCUCUAACAAAAAAUGCAAAGUAAGACUACUCCCGGACCCCGCACAUAACGGGAGCUUAGUGCACCCGGCAGUAGGGGUGGGCGUUCGGACAGUUCUGAUUGGAUUUCCGGAUCGAAGAAAUGACAACCCAAAUCCAAUCCAAAUAAGAUCGAAUUGGAUCACAUUUUUAAGUUCGGCUUCGGGUUAAUCGGUUUGAAUAAUAUGAAUUUUCGGUUUUGAGCGUAUAAGUUUCUACUUUUUACAAAAAUAAAUAUCCAAAUGAAGUACACAUGUUAAAUUGUCCGAAAACUUUCUCGUUCUUGUCGCAAUCAUCCAAAUAAAGUAUUCAAUUAAUAAAAUUAUUAUCAAAAGAAUACAGCAAAGACAUUAAUACGGUCGAUAAGAAGUAGCAAUAGUAAAAUCAUGUCCAAAUAAAAAAAUGUUCUAACCAUAAUUGUAAUUAAUUUGAAUAUAUAAGUCAUAAGAUAAUAUCUAAUGGGUAGGAUAUUGAACUUAUUACUAUUGACAUAUGGAUAACAUACUAAAUAUAAAGUAUAAAAACUUUAAAUUUUCGGAUAUCCAAUAAUCUGAAGUACCAAUUUCAAUAUUCAAUCCAAAAUCCAAAAUUUUUAAAAAUUAAAUCCAUAAUCCAAAAAUUCAUAAAAAUCGAAUUUGGAUCUCGGAUUUGCCCAAACUAUGCCCACCCUACCCGACAGCCCUUUUUGUUAGAAAAAAAGAAUAAAGUGUACAAUUUUUAUGUAUUGACAUGUAAAGUACAGUUCUUCAUUGUCGUUUUAUUGUAUUUUAAUGUUCUUCAAUUAAGACUUUCAAUUAAAUGUGAUAUAUUAGACAAUGCAAUCUUGAGAAGGAGCACUCAAAGUUAUGAUUCAACCCUUUGACAACUCUAUUCAUUGUGAAGGAAAUUGAAGGUUCAAAAACAAAAACUUUGAAUGCAUAUCUUUGCCCAUAAACUACAACUUAAUUAAACAUGUAUUCAUAAGGUUGAUGCAAAUAUACUAUCGUCGUCUCGAGUACAAAAUUGAAACUCAGUGCAGCGUGCUUCUUCACGAGACAAUGUCACUGUUUAAAUCCUUCGCCGAGGCCUGCUGGCAUUCCCAAGCUCUGCGCAAGAUCGCUCAUUCUUUCUUUCAUUGCCUGAAACAUAAGAGCCGUGUUAAGAAAUAACAAAUCUAAAGAUAUACAGGGUCUCGAGUCGAAACUAUAGCUUCUUUUGUGAAUAUGCCAUUGCUGGUGAAGCGUCUCUACCUCUAAUUGUUAACCCAAAGGUUCGUGUCACAUAGAGUAUAUAGAGAACCAUUGUUUGAUUCCCCUUGGGUGGAUAAAAAUGGGCACUGCAAUGCCCUAAGCACCGGCUUAGUGCGAGGUCUAAAAAGGACCGGACCAUACUGGGUCUUACGUAUGCAGCCUUAUCUUGCACGAAAAAUAUUCUCUACGUUUCAUCUUACAUGAUGGUGUUUGACAAACACAGAAUUUAAGAAAGAAAAUAGUUUGGAACUUGUGGCCUCUAACAUGCAAUGAUAUUUUUGCAGCUAUAACAUUUAUGUUAUUAAGGGUAAAAUGAGAAUUUAAAAUUUAUAGUUUCUAAAUAUAGAUAGGAGUUAUUAUUUUUGAAACAAACUAAAAAAGAAGGAGCAUCAAACAAAAUGAAACGAGGGAGUGAAACUAAAAGGAAGAAGUUUAAGGUUCUUACUAGUACACUUUUCUGAUGUGCAUCCUUGUAUGCCUCUGUAAUUAAAAGUGAAAGUUUCUGCACAAGAAAAACAUUCAGACUCUCUUUAACAUUUGGGAACUGACGCGGCACAAAAUCACAUGGAUUCAUAUAUUGUUAUAUUCCACAUGGCUCCUUGAAAGGGGAAAGCGCCAAUGUAUAGUGCAACAACAACAACAACAACAACCCAAUGUAAACCCACAAGUGGGGUCUGGGGAGGGUAGUGAGUACGCAGACCUUACCCCUAUCCCGAGGGAGCAAAGAGGGGUAGUAGAGAAGCUUUUUCCGAAAGACGCUCGGCUCAAGAAGACGAACCAGACUCUUUCAGUUCUUGGAUGCGCAAAACAACCUAUCGACCAUGUAUAGUGCAUUCGUGAAUAGUUUCAUUUGUUCUGACAGAACAAGGGAGUAUACAGCAAAUGCCACUUGCAUAGUUUACUCGCUUAAGGCCAAGUAAAAGCAUCUUGAUUUUUAGGGAAAAAAAUAAUGGUUCAAUGAAAUAGUAUGUUAAAGGCCAAGCAUGAAUAAGUUAAAGAAUCUAAGGAUCUCAAUUGGCACAAUAAGCGGAGGUAGCUUCCCGGUAAACUGCAGAUAAAUUGGUAGCUUAAAUCAUACAGCAAAAGACGAUUAACAAUUGAGAAUCAUCUCUAAGUCACCAAGUAUUAAGUAUGUAACAGAUUUUGACAGGUAUAGAAGUAGAUAACUCAGAUGUUCUAUGCAAUAUAUACUCACUUCUGGCCCCAAUUCCAUGGCAACCUCUGUAAUUUCAGUACGUAUAGGUUGCUGAUUCCCAGACAGCGUUACCUGAAAAUGAUGUAAAUACUGAUAAGUCCCUAAUAUUGCUCAUAAGAAAAUGUAUCUUAUACAUUGGAAUAUCUCUAACGUUUCCAAGUUAUCAUUUCUGUCAACAUAUGUCUAUAUUAAUCAUAUCCAGAGAGACGAGUGAAAGAGAGGAGAAGACACUAGACAAUAUAAGAGGUACCGGAAGGACUCUUACAUAAGAGAUCAAAUAAUUUUAGCUUGAACUUUUGGCAAGAAAUGCUGGCCAAGACUGAGCAUUCUAUGUCUAAACCCAAAAAACAGACCCAACACUUUAAGAUCGGCCACCAGACUGCAUCUUAAUUUCAGGGGCAGCUGAAUCAGUAUUUCAGUUAGGUCAAUUAGAAGUUAUCUCUCCAGUUAGAUGCACCAAAAUAAAACAAGAAAAGACGAUACCUUGAUUAGUUCACCUUCACAGUAACCAUCAAAUUCUGCUCUGAAAAUACAAACCACCAAAAAUAGAAUAAGUAGAAAAAUGAUAUACGGUAUUCUCAUAAAGCAUGCUUAUACAACAACAACAACAAGAAGAAGAACAACAACCCAGUAUAAUCCCACUAAGUGGGGUCUGGGGAGGGUAGUGUGUACGCAGACCUUNNNNNNNNNNNNNNNNNNNNNNNNNNNNNNNNNNNNNNNNNNNNNNNNNNNNNNNNNNNNNNNNNNNNNNNNNNNNNNNNNNNNNNNNNNNNNNNNNNNNNNNNNNNNNNNNNNNNNNNNNNNNCCCACCCUUGCUCUUGGGGAGACUCGAACUCACAACCUCUCGGUUGGAAGUGGGGGUUGCUUACCAUCAGAGCAACCCCUCUUGUCUCAUAAAGCAUGCUUAUAAGAAGGUAAAAACAUACUACAAACUGUACUAUAUAGAAACAUACAAAGCGAGCUCUUUUUGUACUCGCACUGCCUCAACUUGAACCACAUUUUGUGCCUUCUUCACUGUCUCGUAUAAGUUUUGCAUGUUUCCCAGAAGACCUGCCUAAGAUCAAGAUAUACAAACUGAGGUUGGUCGAGCAAAAUUAUACAAUACUUUAUAUGAGUGAACAACAGGUGAAGCAUAAGAAAGAUAGAACUACAAGCAUGCUUAGGCUGAGGAGCAGCAGCUUAUACAUUUGAUAAUGACUGCAUUACUUAUAUAGCUGAACCAAAACAUCAAACCCCAUUUCCGAAGUGCCCGGUGAAGGUAAAACAAUAAACAAAUAUACCUCAAAAUUCAUAUAUGUUGGGUCCAUUAUAUGAAUCCUCAAUAUUCAUUAUGCUCUAUUAGGACUCAAUAAUUUGCCUUUUAGCAAAGUAAUCACAACAAAUGUGCCAAAGCUAUAACUAAUUUAAAUGUAACAACAUGACUAUGUGAAUACCACUAGCUGGUAAUGUUAAGCAUCUAUUAUGUGUUCUUUUCAGCUAACUCAGUGUGACUUCAAGAUAGACUUUUAAAAAACUUGCAUUUGCCAUCCAGGUAUUUUUAGAACCAUGACACUUCCUAUGGACGUGACACUUCUGUAACGUACUAAAGUUGAGUUUGUUGUUUCAUUAGAUUGUCAUCACUUGCACUCAUGGUUACCCGAGGUUUGAGGCUAACGAGCUUUAAAACUGAACAGAGACAUUUCCUCUGAUUUUCUGUCCACGAACAAACCUUACGAAUAUGUUGGGGGUAUUUAAGUCUAUUUAAGUCUUGAACAGACUAGAACAAAAAAAUUUCAGCACCCAAGGAAGAUAUGGUCUUGGAUGUCUGAACGCCCCUCUGUAUUUCAUUUUGUUUGUACCCAUUAACCAACCCCUUCAUGUUUCAUAAAUAGACGUUUAUCAAGGCUCAUCAGCCAGUUCAUUGUUAAAAAAAUUUCCUUGAGCCGGAGAACUAUCGGAAACAGCCUCUCUACCCUCAAAGUAGGGAAAGGUCGGUAUAUACACUAUCCUCCCCAUUCCCCACUGUGGAAUUAUACUGGGUUUGGCGUUGUUGUAGUUAGUUCAUGGAAGGAUCAACAUCACCAACCUUAGGGGCCACUUCAAAUCACGAUAAUUUGAACAAAGAGAAAUGAAUCAAGGCUCUCCAUCCACCUUUGUAUCAUGUAAUCCAUUGCCCAUUAUCAAGGGUAAUAAUGACGUGAACAAGAAUUGAAAUCAUUCUUUCCCAAGGAAUUUCUUUAAAUUUGCUAAAUAUUUUUGAAAUUAGAACUCCCAAACAAUGCCACUAACAAAAGCUUGGUGUUUAAGCAGAGAGUAGAGGGGCGGGCCCAUUAUCCACCGAGUUUCGAACAGUGCGCCAUUGACCCUUCGCGGUAUCAUAAAAAUACCAAAAAGAAAAAACAAGGAACUCCCAAGCAACCAUGUUUCUUGAAUGAGCUUCUGUUUAUUUUUUAUUUUUUUUAUUUGCACCGGGUGCCCGAGUCUUUAAGAGCCCCGACUAAUUCCGGGGGUGCACAUGCCCUCGUUAAGGAGUUUGCCGCAAGUGCAUCACGGUUAAUUCAGGUUUUACCCAGUCCGAUGGCCCUCAGGAAUUGUUUGCACCCAGUGGGUUUCGAACUUGGGACCUUGAAAGGGAGCAAACCCCAAGGCUCAAGUUAAUAGUCAUCAUGCCCAUGAACUUGAUUCUUUUAAUUGCGGAGAUAAUAUUAGCAAGCUACCAGAAGAAGAUUUUGCAAUGUGUUCUUUGCAUGCAUAUAUAGCUUAAAAUAAUUUUUAAUAAGUCAGUGAACAAGGUAGAUCCACUGUCAAUGUAAGCAACAAAAUUCUCUACAAUGAAGGGAAUAUACCAGAUACCUUAUUGUUCUCAUUGUCGUCUUUUUUGCCUCCAAACAGAGCACGUAUUUGCAUAGGUCUGGGAUUAUCUGAAACCUUUCGACAGCCGGAUCUUGAUAAUGUCCACAUGCCUACUUGAUUCACAUUAGGACUUGGAUUGUCUGCAAAGACCAAAAUUGUGAAAUAACAUAUACUUCAUUAGGUGCUUAAUUUUCUCAGUGUUGAAACAACAUACAGAAAGUCAAAAUUUACACCCAAACUGCGCAGAGCCAGAAGUCCACGUUCAUCCUCUUACGUCUUUUAACAGUAAUAACCAAUCAUUGAAAACAAUUAUUCCGAGACGUGCUUGAUCUUUUAGCCAAAGAAAUGUCUAAAUAGAAAGAAACUUUGACCAAAUAUUGACGCUCAUACACGCCAUUUCCCUCUAAAUUCAGAAGUUUGAAACAAUGUCUGGAACACAACAUGAUGAUAAAGCAUCAACCUUUUUGCUAAGCAUGAGCUUUUCCUCUUGAUAGUAAAGGCACAUUGGUACAUGUAAUAUGAAGGUUAAUAUAUUUCGUAGCUUAAGACAAAAGUAAUCACCCUCAACUUAUUUAUUACUGAAUCAAACCUUCAUAAACAUUACCACACAUUUGAAGGAAAUGGAAAACACAUAAUCUGCAUAGACAGUCAGAUUCGGUGGCAGUUGCUGGGAAAAUUGAAAAGAUUAAUAGGAGUUUCUCAUUGACAUUAAGGGUUUACUAAGAUAUAUUUUUAUCUGCAAAUAGGCACGGAAAGAUAGAAUGUCAGGGCAAAGGCGGCUACAAAAUUUAUCAGCCAGUGGGUAUAGACUAUAGAGUGCCACCACACUACUACUCCUUUGUGGCAAUGGUCGCAAGCUUACAUAAGCAUAUUUUUUUCAAAAUCGUUAGUAUAAGAGUGUGUGCGUGUGUUCAUAGAAAGGAGAGAAGGUUGGCAUCUCCACUGAUUGGGACAGGAACAACCUUCGGGCUUUACCUGUUAUCAGGAGCGUGUAUCUGUGUACUUUGAGUUGGAAGGGUACAUCCACAUUAAGGAACUUCCACAAGUUGGAAAAUUUUGUCGUUACCAGAAAAUUGCAAGCUUUACAUCAAGAAAGCUAAUAGCUUCGAGUUACUGGCUCUCUUUAUCUUAUUAGGGCCUUUUACAAACUAUAACCAUAAACAUAGCCAUAACGGCAUCUCUUUUUGUAAAUGACUAACAAUUACAUGCCAUCAAAAAUUGAUAGGAUUUUCCCAUUGUUAUUAGAGGUUUACUAAAAUAUAUCUUCGUCUGCAUAUGGGACAUCAAAAGAAAAAUGUCAGGACAAAGGCGGAUACAGGAUUUUUAAGUCAGUGGGUAUAAAGUGCCAACAUACAACCACUCCUUUGUGGCAACGGACGCUAUAUUUCAAUAUUGUUCAUGUGUGGGUGCGCGUGCGCGCAUUUCAGCAGGAAGCACACAUCCGCGUUGAAAAACUUUCAAAGGUUGGAAAAUUUUGUGAUUACCACCAAAAUUGGCCUCUUUCAACAAAGAAAGUUGCUACCUUUACAUCAAGAAAGCUAAUAGCUUCUACCUACUAGCUCUCUCUAUCGUUUCUAGGGCCUUAUGUAAAAUAUCAACACAAACUCCUUAGCAACAAAGAAUUACUAGUACCUUCAUUUCAUUUUAUGUUAACUUGUUCGAUUACGCACGAGUUUAAGCAGUGUUAUCAAAGGCGAAAAGCGCAAAAAAUCUUAAGGCCCGUUGGGGCUUUAAGCGCAAAUAAAGCGUGGGCUUUAAUAAAAAAAGAUGCAACUGGAGAAAAAUUAAAAAUAUGUAUAUGUUGUCCAAUACUAAUAAUUAUAAGCAUGAAUAACAAAUAUAGACAAGAGGGGUUGCUCUGAUGGUAAGCAACCCCCACUUCCAACGGAGAGGUUGUGAGUUNNNNNNNNNNNNNNNNNNNNNNNNNNNNNNNNNNNNNNNNNNNNNNNNNNNNNNNNNNNNNNNNNNNNNNNNNNNNNNNNNNNNNNNNNNNNNNNNNNNNNNNNNNNNNNNNNNNNNNNNNNNNNNNNNNNNNNNNNNNNNNNNNNNNNNNNNNNNNNNNNNNNNNNNNNNNNNNNNNNNNNNNNNNNNNNNNNNNNNNNNNNNNNNNNNNNNNNNNNNNNNNNNNNNNNNNNNNNNNNNNNNNNNNNNNNNNNNNNNNNNNNNNNNNNNNNNNNNNNNNNNNNNNNNNNNNNNNNNNNNNNNNNNNNNNNNNNNNNNNNNNNNNNNNNNNNNNNNNNNNNNNNNNNNNNNNNNNNNNNNNNNNNNNNNNNNNNNNNNNNNNNNNNNNNNNNNNNNNNNNNNNNNNNNNNNNNNNNNNNNNNNNNNNNNNNNNNNNNNNNNNNNNNNNNNNNNNNNNUACCAGGGUAGGGGUAAGGUCUGCGUACAUACUACCCUCCCCAGACCCCACUAAGUGGGAUUAUACUGGGUUGUUGUUGUUGUUGUUGUUGAAUAACAAAUAUAUGGACAAGGAAAAUGAAGCAAAUUUACGAGUAAAAUAGAAAUUGUUUAAUGUCGCCUUUUUAGGAUUACACUCAUUGGCAAGGAAAAGUAUGUCUUAGAGCCUUGAUGCGACACUAAAGCACACACAAAGCAAGACGAAGCGCUCAAUAUGUUUUGUGCUUCGCUUCAAGGCUUAAGUGUGCUUUAAGCGCACCUUUGACACUUUCAGCGCUUGUGGACUUAAACAUGUCAUGAUAUUUGUGCAGCUACAAAUUUAUGUUGUUAAGGGUAAAAUUGGAUGUUUAUAUUUAAUGAAACAGACUAAAAAGCAAACAAUGUCAUGCCAACAUAGGCAUCUCAUUUUGUAAAUUACUUACACUUCAUACAUCAUCACUAGCCAAAGUAAAAUAAAUUGGAUGUACUAAUUAAAUUGCCAGUUUGUUCGGCAAAGAAUUACUACCACCUUGUAUGUCAACAAAUCAACAAAUGAGGUCUGCCGAGAGUUGUAUGUACACUCACCUUACCCCUAACCGGGCAGAGAGGAAUCCUCUAUGUUCAUUCCAAUAAUAACAAAUUAACAGUCAGCUACAUGAAUCUCUAUGUUCAUUCCAAUAAUAAAUAAUUUGUCUUUUAUAGAAAACUAAUAGUUCUCUAAAUAAAAAAUUAACUAAAAUUUAAUUAGAAUAAAAUAACUUAUAGGAAAAAAAAAAGAGCUUACAGAAGGAUACUGAGGAGAAGUUAUGGAGGUUUGAAAUCCUAGCUGAGAGAGCACUUGUUGACGCCAUUUUUCACAAAAGAUAAAUUGAAGGGAAAUUUGUAAUUUCAGAGAAGAUUGAAUGAUUUUUUGAAUUAUCGAUAUUGCAUCAGUUUAUUCUGAAAAAAAUAUCUAUAUGCAUCUUUUCGAGGUUGCAGUUUGGACUUCUUGAUAAACGUUAGUUUGGCCCCUCAGGUUUUGAAAAUAUUAGUAUGAUGCCGAAUAUUUUAAUAACUUAUACUAUCACCCUUCUAAAUAAGAGUUUAGUAACUUUUAUUUAUUGAAAUAACCUUUAAAAAGUUUUAGAAAGAAUUUUUGGCGAAGAAAACUAUUUAUGAUUGAUAUAUAUAUAAUUAGAAAAAUCCUCUAUAUUUAUUUAAUAACUUUUUUUAUUGAUAAAAGAAUAAAUAUUAUUUUUAUUCCAAGGUGGAGAGUUUUGUUUUUUCCAUCGACCUAUUUGCAUAAUUCAUUUACAACGUGCUUGGAUAGUUGUUACCUGUUGUAUCGUAUUAUAUUAUUACUUUAAAUACAAUAUUUGUUUUGAUUGUUACUUAAAUUUUGUUGUAUCGUAUCGUUAAUUUUGUCGUUGCAUAACGACGGAAUGUGUCACUUUAUGUAACGAACGAUUCUAAUGUCGUUGCGUGGUUUCCUUGUUCUUUUGUGUCAUUCUCACCCUUAAUUAUUGUUAAAUAAUUUUAUUUUAUUAUUUAUCUUAUUAUAUAGUAAUUUAUCAUGUAUCAUAAUUUUUCUUUAUAAUAUACAAGUUUAUCUUCAUAUUGCUGGUGCGUGAUAUCAUGAAACGACGACAAACAACAGAAUCUAUCCACACAUUGUAUUCAUCAAACUAUACAAUACAAUAUAAUACGAUAUGAUACGAUACAGUAUAAAACGAUAUGUAACAACCAUCAAAACAAGUUGUUAAAAAAUAAAAAAAUUAUUUCUAUAUCUAUAGAAGAAUGUAUAAGAAAAAUCUUAGAGAAAGUUAAGAACUCAUUGAAAUUUUCAAGUAAAAAGGGAGGGAGGAGGGAGGAAGAAUAAUAAGAAAGAAAGAAAAGAAGAAUGGUUUUAUUCACAUGUUGAACCAAUGUUUAUUUAUAAUCGUUGUUUAUAUUAAAGUAAGAAAUACAUGAUAUAUACUUUGUAAGCAUUACAAGUAAAUAUAAUAUAAUAUAAACAUUUAAUGAGAAUAAGUUAUUUGCCGUCCAAUAAUUUUUUAAUAAUUAAUCAAGAAUGAAAAAGGGUAUUUGGCUAAGCUUAUAAGCUGGUUAAAUUGGUUCAUAAGCACUUUUUAAUUUAUCUACGCAUUUGAUAAAUGCCGAAAGUGUUUAUAGGUUAAAAUCAGCCAUAAAUCAUAAAUUUGUCACCCCCAACUUAUAGUUUUUUUUAGCUUAUAAACACUUUUAGUUUGAUCAAGAUUUUUUUACUAGUUUAUCCUUAAUACUCCCUCGAUCCAAAAUAAGUAAUGUUUUGGAUGUUUUUAUACAGCUUAAUUAGCAUUGAUUAACAAUGAGAUUGAUCAUAUUAACCUUUACUAUCUCACAUAAACACUCCUAACACAUAUUCCAACACUAUUUACUUCAAGGACAAUGCAGAAAAUAAAAUAAUUAAUUCAUUCUUGAAAAAUCACUUAUUUUGGACCACAAAAAGACCAAAAAAUUACUUAUUUUGGACCGGAGGGAGUAAUAUUUUCCAAUUCAUAAAAUAUUUGUCCCAAAAUAAAUUUUCUAACUUUCUUUUCAUUCCAUAUCCGUAGUUCAUUUUUUUGGUUUUGCAAAAAAAAAAUAACUUUUUAACUUAUAAUCUUUUGUAAAGUAUUUAAGGAUAUUUUAAUUAUUUUAAUAAAAGAAAAACUUAUCAGUAUUUUUCUACCAAACACUUUAAUUGCUUAUUAUUUAUUCCAACACGUCUAUUCGAAAUAUAUAAAUGCUUAUUUAAAAAAUUAAUUUCAGCAAUUAAAAAUACUUUUCAUCACUUAGCUUAUCACAUAUUUACAACCAGCUUAUUUACGGUUGGCUAAACCAAAUAGGCUCUAACUUGAUUUUUGCUGGGUUUAUGUAUUUAAUUAAUAAAUUAAAUACUUAAAAAGGGUGAAUGAGAAAUGGAGGGAAAUUAAUUUUUUGAGUGAAAUUUCAAAUUUCCCCCCUUGGAAUAUAGACAUUGUCCCAUAUUGGAAUAGGAAAAAACUUUUUAUGGGUUUAUAAAUAAUUGCUCUUCUUUUAGCUCUUAAAGGCUUCAUUCGAAUUCGGUCAAAUGAUCGAUUGAAAUAUUAAUAUUAAAUCAAAUUGAUUUUUCUGUUUUUGUAACAGAAAAUUAACUACUCAUCAAUUUUUCUCUUUGUUAUUUUGUAAAUAGCUAUUUGAGUAAUGACAUAUAUGUUGUGGCAGUUUUGCAGAAAUAGUCAUUUUGAAGAGUUGCACCUCUUCAAAUUCCACCCCAAAUUUUGGCUAUAAAUACAAUACUAUUCUGCUCAGAAUUUCACUACGAGUUUUUGAAUUUUCUCUCCUUCUCUGCAUACUUUUAGCAUAUAAACAAAGCAAAAGUAAGUGUGAUUUGCUAUUGAUCUUUGUGUUUGCUGAAACACUGGCGUUUGGAAUAUCACUACACCAGUAUGUAAUUCGUUCUAUCCUGAGAGAAAAUAAUCCAUAACCUUGGGUGCUAGAAGGGGAUUAAAUUCUUUAAGGAUACAUUGCGAAUACAGUGAGCUCAAAUUACUUAUGAUCAUUUUUGUUUAUGUCAUUUCUAUUUAUCAUAAUUUUUGUUUAUAUUAAUUUAUAUUUCCAGAAUUGUUUUAUAAAUACAAGUUAGUGACAAUUUUCACUUUUUCCCUUUUCUUUCAUUCUUUCUCACAUACUUACACGGCAAUGAAUACAACCAAUUUUUGCACCUUCUCUGCCCACAUGUAUAUAUAUAACGAGAAAAUAACAAUAAGGAGUAAGAAAGAUAAUGGUCAGUAUCAUCAAAGGAUGUGGUACAAUGAGUAAGACUGCUUCUUCCUUAAUCAGAGGUCUCGAGUUCGAGUUUUGGAUAUGGAAGGAGCGUUUCCCCCCGAAUAUAAGUCUUAAACGGCGCGAACUCGAAUAUAGUCGAGCUCUAACGCGGGUACUUCCCUUAACCAGAGGUCUCGAGUUCGAGUUUUGAGUAUGGAAGGAGCGCUUCCCCCCAAAUGAAGCCAUACACUACGCAAGUCGGGCUCUAAUCGAGUACCGAAUACCAUAAAAAAGAUAAUUGUCAGUGAAAAACAGAAUUAUUGAAGCAGGCAACCAAACUUCAGUAAUCUCAUACCCACUUUUGAAUAAAGGUGAAAUCAAGAAUUUAACUUUUCUGCAUUCAAAUUUCAAACACAGAUGAGAUCUAGCAAAAUAAUUGCUCUUUCUUGGCCUAGCAUUGAUUUUGAGAGCUGAAACAGGUGGAGUUGGAGUGGUGUCACACAAUAACACAAGUUAGGUAUAGAAUACACUCUUCCCCCAUUCAGCAUAUUGUUCUUUUUUACCUAAUAAUUUAGUUUUCAAAAUUUACUUGUCCCAUUAAUUGAAUGGUGUCACACAAUAACAGAAAUUAGGUAUAGAUUAGACUCUUCCCCCAUUCAUCAUAUUGUUCCUUUUUACCUAAUAAUUUAGUUUCCAAAAUUUACUUGUCCCAUUAACUCGAGUUCGCGCCUUAAAAAACAAUUAUAGUACUGGGUUUUCGUGUUCUUGUAAAAAAAAAAUUAUUUUGUCGAACCAGAAAUUCUAGUUAAAUGUGAAAAAAUAUUUACUAUUUCACCACACCUCCUGAUGGUUAGCACCCGAGCGGAAGCUAAAGCCAUUAGACGAAUUCUGUAUGGGUCAAAAUCGACUUCGUGUUAAUUAAUGGGAUUAACGCAUUUAUUAAAAUCUAUUUGUGAUUAACAAAUGGUAUGGUCGUCUAUUGAUAAUGCUCUCGGGCAACUAUCCGAUUCGACAACUAAGGUUACGGGCUGGCCGUCCUUACGAGGGCGUCCUCUCGAUAUGGUCACAACCACUCGGCGCCAGCUGGCAGGUCUCGUAGCUAUAAAUACUAAGAGAAAGAACCCUAAAAAGGGGGUUGCUUCUUCUCUUUCUCCAUACUUCUCUUCCAAGAGAAGAGAAUACACAUCAUUGUAAGGCUCUGAACCUCUCCAUGGAGAGGAAGACCUACCAAUAUCAUUAAUAAAAGAUCUUCAUCUUCUUCCCCUUAAUCAUUAACUGUUGUCUCUCACUUUUUUAUUCAUUUGGCUUAUUGGUUUAUUACGAUCUGCUAAGAUUGGCCAUCUAUCGAUUUUAAUUGAUUUAUGCUUAUAAAGUGUGUGAGAACCUUGAGCUAAAUAAUUUGGCGCCGUUUGUGGGGAUUUCAUAGCAGAAUCGCGUAGUUAUCCUUAUGCCAAAAAAGGAAAGAAAGCAACUCAGCUCAAGCGAGCCAAAGCAGCAUGUCGGAUCGAAGGAAGUCAAAAGCCUCGAGAUGAGCUUGCUUCCACAUCCCCGCGUCUCCGAGCAAGGAGAAGAAGAAGAAGCAGAAGAAGAAGAAGAAGAAUAAGAAGAAGAAGAAGAAGAAGAAGAAGAAGAAGAAUGUAAAGCCUCGAGAUGAGCUUGCUUCCACAUCCCCGCGUCUCCGAGCAAGGAGAAGAAGAAGAAGCCGAUCCCUCAUCUGUAGAAAAUCACUCUAUCUAUGAUAUGUGCGCUUUGGUUGUAUGAGCAUGAUUUUCAGGUAUAGGUUUUGAUGAAUGACAAACAAUAAAGUCAAGNNNNNNNNNNNNNNNNNNNNNNNNNNNNNNNNNNNNNNNNNNNNNNNNNNNNNNNNNNNNNNNNNNNNNNNNNNNNNNNNNNNNNNNNNNNNNNNNNNNNNNNNNNNNNNNNNNNNNNNNNNNNNNNNNNNNNNNNNNNNNNNNNNNNNNNNNNNNNNNNNNNNNNNNNNNNNNNNNNNNNNNNNNNNNNNNNNNNNNNNNNNNNNNNNNNNNNNNNNNNNNNNNNNNNNNNNNNNNNNNNNNNNNNNNNNNNNNNNNNNNNNNNNNNNNNNNNNNNNNNNNNNNNNNNNNNNNNNNNNNNNNNAUUAAAUCAUUUUAUUAAAUCAUAUUUAUCAUAAACAUAUUUUAUUAAAUCAUAUUUAUGAUACUAAAGUUUUCAUUUUAACCAAAAUAGUUUUUUAAGUAAGUUUUCAAUUCUGGAAGAGAAUAAUCGAUUAUACACUUGAGCAUAAUCGAUUAAAAUGGUUUUUGAAGUUAGUCUUCAAUUCUGGAAGAGAAUANNNNNNNNNNNNNNNNNNNNNNNNNNNNNNNUAUCAAGUGUAUAUCAGUGGUAUAUAAUCGAUUAUACAAAGCUGCAUAAUCGAUUAUGCUUAGACCGUUGCCAGUGUUUUGAACACUGCCUUCAUAUAGUCGAUUAUGUGGUAUGAAAUAAUCGAUUAUUUGGUAGAAAAUCAGCUUUCAGAUUUUCUGAACGUUAGAAAUAAUCGGUUAUCUCAAAUUACAUAAUCGAUUAUAUGGCACAAAAUCAGCAUAAUUGAUUGCCAAUUAAGCNNNNNNNNNNNNNNNNNNNNNNNNNNNNNNNNNNNNNNNNNNNNNNNNNNNNNNNNNNNNNNNNNNNNNNNNNNNNNNNNNNNNNNNNNNNNNNNNNNNNNNNNNNNNNNNNNNNNNNNNNNNNNNNNNNNNNNNNNNNNNNNNNNNNNNNNNNNNNNNNNNNNNNNNNNNNNNNNNNNNNNNNNNNNNNNNNNNNNNNNNNNNNNNNNNNNNNNNNNNNNNNNNNNNNNNNNNNNNNNNNNNNNNNNNNNNNNNNNNNNNNNNNNNNNNNNNNNNNNNNNNNNNNNNNNNNNNNNNNNNNNNNNNNNNNNNNNNNNNNNNNNNNNNNNNNNNNNNNNNNNNNNNNNNNNNNNNNNNNNNNNNNNNNNNNNNNNNNNNNNNNNNNNNNNNNNNNNNNNNNNNNNNNNNNNNNNNNNNNNNNNNNNNNNNNNNNNNNNNNNNNNNNNNNNNACGGUGUGUUCUUUCUUUAUUAUUUCAAUUACCGUAUUUACUUUAUUCCUGCAAUUUUAAUUCCGCAUUAUUUAUCAAUAUUCUCGUGCCUCACUAUUCCCCCCCCCCCCUCUAGUGAACGGCAUAAAUCCUAACAUCAUCCAUAUGGGAAAAUGUGCAUAAGGUACCUCACCCCCUUCUCACACGGGAUCCUGCCAGAAAGGAGGAAAGCAAAAGAGUAUCUCGAACCGAGAUCUGUAACAGGGUGACCCGCGGGAGCCAGUCAAAUAAAAAACUACAAGACAGUUAGGCAAGAUCUGGAACCAGGACCAAAUCCCAACCCCAACACGAAGCGGAAAAUAAAAGGUUCAACUACGGUUGAACCGGGACUCAGGCUAUGCACCUUCGACUUCAAAAAUUACGAAGGUUAAACUACGGUUGAACCGGAACUCAGGCUAUGCGCCUUUGACUUUAAAGAUUAUAAAGGUUCUACUACGGUUGAACCGGGACUCAGGCUAUGCACCUUCGAUUUCAAAAAUUACGAAGGUUCAACUACGGUUGAACCGGGACUCAGGCUAUGCGCCUUCGACUUCAAAAAUUACGAAGGUUCAACUACGGUUGAACCGAGACUCAGGCUAUGCGCCUUCGACUUCAAAGAUUACAAAGGUUCAACUGCGGUUGAACCGGACUCAGGCUAUACGCCUUCGAGUUUAAAAACUACGAAGGUUCAACUACGGUUGAACCGGGACUCAGGCUAUUCGCCUUUGACCUCAAAAAUUAUGAAGGUUCAACUACGGUUGAAUAGAGACUCAGGCUAUGCGCCUUCGACUUUAAAAAUUACGAAGGUUCAACUACGGUUGAACUGGGACUCAGGCUAUGCGCCUUCGACUUUAAAAAUUAUGAAAGUUCAACUACAGUUGAACCGAGACUCAGGCUAUGCGCCUUCGACUUCAAAAAUUACGAAGGUUCAACUAUGGUUGAACCGGGACUCAGGCUAUGCACCUUCGACUUCAAAGAUUACAAAGGUUCAACUAUGGUUGAAUCGGGACUCGGGCUAUGCGCCUUCGACUUUAAAAAUUACGAAGUUUCAACUACGGUUGAACCGGGACUCAGGCUAUGCGCCUUCGACUUCAAAGAUUACAAAAGCUUAGCUACGUUGAACCGGGACUUAGGCUAUGCGCCUUCGACUUCAAAAAUUAUGAAGGUUCAACUACGGUUGAAUCGGGACUCAGGCUAUGCGCCUUCAACUUCAAAAAUUAUGCAGGUUCAACUAUGGUUGAAACGGGACUCAGGCUAUGCGCCUUCGACUUCAAAGAUUACAAAGGUUCAACUACGGUUGAACCGGAACUCAGGCUAUGUGCCUUCGACUUCAAAAAUUGCGAAGGUUCAACUAUGGUUGAACUGGGACUCAGGCUAUGCGCCUUCGACUUCAAAAAUAACAAAGGUUCAACUACGGUUGAACCGGGACUCAGGCUAUGCGCCUUCGACUUCAAAAAUUACAAAGCUUCAACUAUGAUUGUACCGGGACUCAGGCUAUGCGCCUUCAACUUCAAAAAUUACGAAGGUUUAACUUCGGUGGAACCGGGACUCAGGCUAUGCACCUUCGACUUCAAAUAUUACAAAGGUUCAACUACGGUUGAACCAGGACUCAGGCUAUGCGCCUUCGACUUCAAAAUUACGAAGGUUCAACUACGAUUGAACCGGGACUCAGGCUAUGCGCCUUUGACUUCAAAUAUUACAAAGGUUCAACUACGAUUGAACCGGGACUCAGGCUAUGCGCCUUCGACUUUAAGAAUUACAAAGGUUCAACUACGGUUGAACCGAUACUCAGGCUAUGCACCUUCAAGUUCAAAAAUUACGAAGGUUAGUGGAACCGAGACUCAGUCUAUGCGCCUUCGACUUCAAAGAUUACAAAGGUUUACGGUUGAAUAGAGACUCAGGCCAUGCGCCUUCGACUUCAAAAAUUACAAAGGUUCAACUACGGUUGAACCGGGACUCAAGCUAUGUUCGACUUCAAAAAUUACAAAGGUUCAACUACGGUUGAACGUCAGCUCGGGCUACGUGCCUUCACCCACAAAGUUCAACUAAGGUUGAACUGGGACUCAGGCUAUGUGCCUUCGACUUUCAAAACUACAAAGGUUCAACUACGGUUGAACAGCAGUUCAGGCUACGUGCCUUCACCCAAAGGUUCAACUACGGUUGAACCGGGAAGCUAUGCGCAUUCGACUUCAAAAAUUACAAAGGUUCAAUUACGGUUGAACCGGGACUCAAGCUAUGCACCUUCGACUCCGAAAGUUACAAAGGUUCAACCACGGUUGAACAGCAGUUCAGGCUAUGAGCCCUCACCAAAAAAUCAACUACGGGUGAACUAGGACUCAAGCUACACGACUUCGACAUGAAAGUCACAAACGCAACCACGGGCGAAUCAAAGCCAAGAACAUACGUCCCCACGGCCAUGAUCCUAGCCACAAUUAGGCGAGGCUAAAUGCCCCCACCAUUCAAGUAAGUACGACUGACUUAAAGCUAAAAUUUCGACCAGCGUAGAGUUCGGCCCAAGUCGAACUACAAGGCUGUGGUUUUCAUUACCACGGCUAGUAAUUUGACAAAGCACGAAUUGGGACUAAGGCUAUGUGCCGCCACUGCCCAAACGCGGCUAUAACCGACUCCCGUCAAGCGGAGGAAGGUGACGACCAAAAGCGUUUAUCUGCGUCCAAGGCCAUCUACACCAAUUGUCCCUUUAGACAAAGGAUCGGUUAAAAAAUGGUCGAAAUCACCUAACUAUUAACAUGCUCACUAGAGAAACACUAAGGCAAGGCCAUCUCAAACGAGCACAAAAAAGAAAUGCACAAAAUUGAAAUAAAACAAGCAGAAAGGAAGAAAGUAUAUUUACAAUAUUUAGUGGGGUUACCCCCAAUUACACUGGCCCAAGGCUGGCAGAGAAAAAGGAAACAAUCGAGCGACAACAAAAAAUGGAGAGAAAAAGAGAAUAAAAAUUAAACAGAUAUUACAAAUCUUUUGAUUUGUUCACUCAGCACCCCCAACGCCCUCUUCAAUAUUGGCAGCGCCCUCGGCGCCAUCAUAGGUAGCCUCAGGCACAACGCUGGCUUCCCACAGCCACCUGUACACAUCAAGUUGGGCCUCGGUGUACGUCUAGAGCUCACGAGCAGGACUGAAAAAAGCGGCCUGAUUCCUCAGCCACUGGUUCUCCGCUUCCAGGGUCGCAAUCUAGUUCGUUGCAGCACGGGCGUCCUACUGACAAAUAGCAAUGCGCCCCUCCAACGCUCUCUCUCGAAAAUUGGAAGUGGCCCUCUCUAGUUCGUGUUCCCUUUCUUGGGCGCGGUUGGCCGCCUGCAACGUUUAGAUCCUCUCCAGGAAUCCUCUGCUUGCUUUCUCAAAACAACAUUCUCUGUCUCUAGGGCGGCCACCUGCCUAGUCGAAGCCUCAGCGGCCUCUGCUGCCGCAUCCUGGGUUUGGCGCUCCCUCUCAGCGGCCACCCUACUUUUAGCGUCCAUCUCCUCGUUUCUUUGAUGGAGCUGCCCCUCAAGAGUGUUUACCCUGUUAAGAGUCUACUGCAUAUGAAGCUCUCUCCUCGCCAACUCUUCUACCAGUUCCUGGUUCUGCGGGUCGUUCCUUAGGCUUUCACGCAGGUCAUGACACCGGUUUCGGUAGCGGCAGUACUUCUCCAACAACCAAACAAAGACCGAUGAGCGGACGUUAGCCCGCUGAAUACUCUCCACCUCCAGUAAAAAUGACUAAACAAAGCAAUAGUUAAUACAAGAAGACGUACUAAGGAAAGAAACAGAUCAGGGCAUCAGACGUACCUUUAUACUUAGAGUGUCCACCUCGCCCAUCAACCCGACGUCUGAGAUGCCCUUCAAGGACGCACUCUUCGCCUACGAGCAUAGAACCCCGAACAGUGUCACCAGAUUCUCCUUCUCAAGCAGCAGGUUCAGGUCAUUACGGAUCUCCAAAUAACGGUAAUCCCUUUCGGCCUGCACCGCUGGGCGGGUGUAACCCUCUUGAAACAAGCGGACAUCCUCAAGGUCCAUGUCAGACUCCGAAUCGUCCCCUCUCCUGAGGCUCCCCUUCCUUCCGCCGCCUUGGAAGUCGAGGUAUCCGAUGCUCAGGACGUUGAAGCGCCCGCAUUCACCAAAAUAUCGGCGCCUGUAUCCGCCGCCAAAACAGCUGCUGAGGAACUACCUUCCCUCUCAGCAAUAAGAACUGAAAUUUGAAUUGCUGAAGCGAUUGUGUCAGCUUGGCCUGAGCAAACCGAGGGAACCCCCACUGAGUGCUCGCCCUACGGAGCAAGGUCCGCCGCAUCCCCUUCCGCUUCCGAUGGCGAAGAAUCCAAACUAAUCACCACCGGAAUGACCGGGGUGAACGCCACCCUGCUCCGAGCCAGCGGCCUCCCGUCUUAUUCUUAAUCUCCAUUCGAUGGCAACUCUGCCCCGGAACGCACAACCCUUGGGGAUUCUUCAACUCGAGGUACGGGCCGUACCGGAGAGUGAGCCGCCGAAGAUUCUACUAAGGCCGCCCUCAGAACUGGGCGAGGUGCCGGCAUUGUAAUCAAGUGGGCAGUCACCCCCGGCCUGCGGAAAGCAAGUUGAGGAGCCCUCCUACAACGUGGUCGUUCUAGCCAGCAAAGGAAGAAAAGUAUGGGAAAAGAGGCUAAGAACUAUGAAACAAGAACAAUGCGACAAGUCAGAUUCUUACCAAUGGCCGGCCUACGGCCAUGUAUCUCCCAGAAAGACGCCCACGUGUGAAUCCCCAUUGUAACAAAGAGCACGACCUCAACCCACUCUCGGGUGCUAGAAAACGGCGCCGGUGGCGCACCUCCCGCUACGGCACAAGAAGAAUAUCAGUACGUACGAACAUAAAGCAGGACAUGUAACAAAAAGAAAUCAAGGCUGGUGUAAAAUAAACUUACGUGCAUGGUUCCACUCCUCCGGGAAGUCAAUAGCACAAGCCACCAGGUGCUCAGUCCUGAUGUAGAAAAAGUGCUCGUAAGGGCGAGUAGCGACAUCAUCAUCAAGCUCCACAGUUAAGCCGUUGACCCCACGAGGGACCAACCGAAUCAUGGUGCCACGUACCCUCUGAGGGGCAUAGAGAGUUAACACGUGCCCAAGAGUAAUAUCUCUCCGCGCCAACUCCGCAUAUUUUAUCAGCAUCGCUAAUAACUUGUAACAUGAAGGGACGAGCUGACCAGGGCACACCUUGUAGUAGCGGCAGAAGUCCACCACCAACAUUGGGAGAGGAAGUCUGAAUCCUAGCUUGAAAGGGUAGGCGUAAAAGAUGCAAUACCCUCAAAGGUCGACGUGCACCCUAUUACCGCUCCUAGCAAGGACGAUGUCGGCAAAGUGGGGAAUAUCACACUGUUCCUUCAGCUAGGCGAUGCCAACUUCCCCCCAUCAAUGGAGCCUCAUCCACUUGAUCCUCUCCCUCGGGGUCGGAGAAAUCGGAUGCCGGGCAGAGAAAGAAUGUCAGUCACCGAUGGGGGCUGGUCAAUAUUCGUUGAAUCGGUGGUUCUCACCACCAUAGAUGGAUCCUCAGCCGCCGCAGCCACCACCGGAGCAAUAUCGGAACGAGAGCUGCUCGCCAUUUUUGAUAUAACAAAAGAAAGUAAGCAAAGUUCGCCGGAAAAGCAAGAGAAGACGAAGAUCUGACAAUAAGCGACAAAGAACAAAGUGACGAGGAGAAAAAUAUAGAUUAGGCUGAGUACAAGAAGAGCUAUAUCUCUCAGAACUUCACUUAUACGAAUAUCGAAAAAGUAAGAACUAAACGAUACAACCCUUUAUUUAUAGACGAAACAUAAAUGACUCUCACGAAUCCCAAAGGUCACCAUUAACUACCUGACAACCGCAAAACGGUUCAGGCAUACGGUAAUGGGCAUCAUUAUGACAGAUAUCAUGGAAUAGUCAUUCAACCAUCAAUCAACACGUCGCCCAUGAAAUGGUUGUAACGGCCCCAAGAUACCAAAAGUACGCCCGUGCGUCACCGUGCAUAUGAUGCCUUCCUUGUACGCGGUAAGCACAAUCGCAUCCUUCCCAGUCAUAUGUAAUGGGCUACGGCCGGCCCCAAACCAUUAGUGGCUACGGCCAUCCUCAAAAUAACGCUGGCCACGACCGCCUCCAAAAGUAGUAUUGACUGCAUCCAUCUCUGAAGUGAUAACGGCCACGGCCGUUUCCUGAAUACAAAACGGCUACGGCCACUCCCGAAAUAAGGACGGCUAUGGACACCUCAAAACAACAAGCUAUUGCCAUCCCUUGGCAAUAAUGCGACCACGACUUCCUACCAAAGGGAAGAGUACGUGCAAAUAAGUGGCCACGGCCAUAUCAGAUAUGCGAAUAGCUAUGGCCGGUCGCUCACAUGGAAACUAAACAAAGGGUUACGACUACGGUCGUCAGCUAUGAACUCACUUAAUAAAAAACUCCGUUGCAGUCAAGGAAUGUCCGUGCCAAAAGGCUACGGCCAUCUCUAAAAUAUAAAUGGCUACGACCAUCUCCAAAGAAUAAAUGGCUACGACCAUCUUCACAGAAUAAAUGGCUACGGCCACCUUCACAGAACAAAAUGGCUACGACCAUCUUCACAGAAUAAAUGACUACGACCAUCUUCCAAGAAUAACUGUAAUGGCUACCGGCAACAUCCGUUCAUCGAGCUCGGCCGGAUCCCAACCUCAAUAAGCGGAGGGACUAUCUGUGUGGGUCAAAACUCGACUUUGUGUUAAUUAAUGGGACUGACACAUUUAUUAAAGCCUAUUUGUGAUUAACAAACGGUAUGAACGUCUAUUGGUAAUGCUCUCGGGCAACUAUCCGAUUCGACAACUAAGGUUAUGGCCUGGCCGUCCUUACGAGGGUGUCCUCUCAAUAUGGUCACAACCACUCGGCGCCAGCUGGCAGGUCUCAUAGCUAUAAAUACUAAGAGAAAGAACCCUAAGGUGGGGGGGGGGGCUGCUUCUUCUCUCUCUUGAUACCUACUUCCAAGGGAAGAGAAUACACAUCAUUGUAAGGCUCUGAACCCCUCCAUGGAGAGGCAGACCUAAUCAAUAUCAUUAAUAAAAGAUCUCCACCCUUUUUCCCUUAAUCAUAACUCUGCUUCUUCUGUUUCUUCAUACUUCUCUUCCAAGAGAAGAGAAUACACAUCAUUGUAAGGCUCCGAACCUCUCCUUGGAGAGACAGACCUACCAAUAUCAUUAAUAAAAGAUCUCCAUCCUCUUCUCCUUAAUCAUUAACUGUUGUCUCUCGUGUUUUUAUUCAUUUGGCUUAUUGGUUUAUUACAAUAUGCUAUGGUUGGCCAUCUAUCAAUUUUAAGUGAUUUAUGAUUACAAAAUGUGUGAGAACUUUAAGCUAAACAAAUUCUUUUGCCAAAACUUGGAUGAACAAAAUUAUCUUGUAAUAUAUUCAGUAUGAUAGUUGAGAUACAUGCAAAUUGAUAUGAACGUCACCGAAAAAAUAAAAAAACAACUUUGUUUAUAGUAAGGCCAAUCAAUAAUCAAGGACAAUGACUAGAUGGGGCACAUAAAACUACAAAAUUUAAUGGAUCAUCACAAGCAUGGUUUCCAACUUUUUUCAAUGGCUGGUGCUAAUAAUUGAUGAAUCUUGAAACCUAAAAGAAUUAAAUUUUUUUUUUUAAAAUGUUGAAGAGGACCUUAAACUUAAAAUGUUAAGGUCAAAAUAGUACUUUAAGUUAAGGAGGUCUCAAUAUAAUAAUGUGAAAAAAAACCCAUCACCAUCAAAACAGCAGCAGCCCCAAAGCCUAGAAACAAGGCACUACCAACAACUGCAAAUUUCUCUCUCUCUCUCUAUGUUUUUUCAGAAAAAAAAUUCAUGGCUAACACACACACAGUCCCUCUCUCUCUAGAAAAAUACCAUCUUUCUCUCUCCAAAAACCCAUAUCAUGGAGUCACCACACUUGCCCUUUUCCUUUUUUUUUUCUAUCUCUGCUAUAAGUUUUAUAACUAUGUAUAUAUAUUAGCACUAUGUCUGUAUUAAAUGUAUUUAUCUUUGUCACUGUUCCUAUCUUCAGCAGAGGUCACAAAGGAAGGUGAAAGAAGCAAACACACACACACCAAAAAUCAACUCAAAAAUCAACUCUUUUUCUUUCUCUGUAAUGGCCCAGCUGGACCAAAAAUUUAUAUAACCAAAGAGGAGAAGUACUCAUAAAAACCCACCUCAUAUACACACCAUUUAACCAUAAAGACACAAUCUUUCCAUAAAUACCCUUCUGCAACACCCCUAAAAAGAUCCAAUCUUUCAUCACUGUCUCUAAAAAACAAAAACAGCAAUGUAUUACUACUAUAGUAUUUUUCUUCUCCAUUUAUGUGGGCUUUUUGGGGUUUGUCUUUCUUUAUCAAGAACCUUCUUACCACCUCUCUUUUCCUUUCUUUCCUUAUAUGACUACUCCUUUUCUUUGUUGUAUUAUUAUUGUUUUCUCUCUCUUUUCCUAUCUUCUGCCGCCUUGCUUCUUCUUCAUCUGGCUCUUUAUAUUUUCCAAGAUCUGAUUUUUUUUGUGAUCUGAUGUCUAAGAAGAUGAAAAGGGUGUCUUUAGAAUCAUCAUCUUAUGGUGUUUUUGAAGAUUCAAAGGCUAGGUUGAAGCGUCAGAUACUAUUUCAGGAUUAUCAAGAGCUUCACAAGGUAAAAAAAAUCUUAUCUUUUGGGGUUUGUUUGAUCCUUUUGUUUGAAGAUCUAUGUUUUUUUGUUAGUGUAUUUUGGUGUCUUUGAAUAGUCUGUUGGUUUUUCUAUUUUGGAGUUUUUUUUGGUUCUCUUUAUUUUGUCUUUAGCCGAGAGUAUAUGGAAAACCGCCUUUCUGUCAGGUAGGUAUGCGCACACACUAUUCUCCCCGGACAUGAGAAAACUCACUUGAUUUGUUGUUGUUGGAGUUUUUUUUGUUCUUGUUUGUUAGAAAUUUGAUGACUUUUGGUUGGUAAUUGAUAUGUUUCCUAUCAAAUGAUUUAUGAGCUUGUUAUUUGCUGUCUCUUUUAUUCAAUUUUUUGGAUGAAAGUUACCCUUUUAGCUCUCCCGUACUGAGGCUUUUACUAUGAGUUUGUGUCUCCUUUUGGUUAAAUCUAUUUGUGUCUUUGUCCUCAAGAGUUGUUAGGAAUUCUCUCUAGAAUAAUUCUUAGCUUGUUUUUGUGGUAACCUAGAAAUUCCUAAUGGCCAGUAGCUCACGGUUCGAAACUCGGUGGAUGAGCGCCGCCCCUCGGCCCUUCACCGCUUAAAGACAAGGUUAUGUCUAUGGGAGGAUUCAUAACUCGUGAUGUGCCCCUAUCUUGCACUCAUCCACUUCAAUACAAGCUUUUUGUCUAUGGUAGGAUUUGAACCCGUGGUGUGCGCCUAGCUCACGCAUCCCGUGCAGCACUCUUACCACUAGACUAAAACCUUGGGUCAACAGUUCUUUGUUUGUUUCCAAUAUAGUCAUGCUAUACUUUGAACUGUAAGAUGAUAGAAAGCUGUUGUUUUAGAUUUUGGAAUCGAUUAAAUUAAAAGUAAUGUGUAUUUGUGAUUAAUAAGUUUGUUUACGUGUAACCUACAAUAUACAGGAAACUGAUGGCAUGAGGCACAGAUUGGAGGAUUCAAAACUGAGGAAACUAAGAUUACUAGCUGAAAUUCGGUAAGUAUUGUUUUAACUUCAUAAAAAAGGUUUUCAUAUUUACUUGAUAUAGUUUCAUUUAAUUUAAGUAAAGAUUUUCUUGAGUUCAGUAUUUUGGCCUUAGUCUUCGGAACUAUAUUAUCUUGGAUAAUAUAAUAAAGGAAUAAGAAUUCCCCUGGUAAUUAUGUUAAGAGUUAUUAUCUUCAGCAUCUUAGUAUUCAUUUACUUGAUAAUAUAUAUGCUGAUUCCAGUGUUUUUCAAAAUGCUUGAGUUUCUUUUCUAGUAUUUGAAUCUAAGUGCAGUUUUGCCACAUAAUUGUGCAGUUUCUUACGCCAGAGACGCACAUAUCUGUUGCAGUUGAAGUGCUUAAGUCGUCCACAAGGGCAACAGCUAGUACCAAUGCCAAAUCCAGAAACUUACGACAAAAACAGGUCGAGGGAUAAAGUCUACAGCAAAAAGGAGGCCAAGCUAAACAAACUGACCCUGCUUCCUGGCCCAAAACAGAACGGAAGGAUACAGGUCGCUUCCAAGAAGACACCUGCUAUUCACGUGAGGCAAAAGCACAAAUUAGGUGGUGGAAAAGAUGAUGUUUUGCACAAUACAGUUUUAGGGUUGAACCGUGAAGCAAGAGUAUAUAGUGGAAAGGAAGUUUCAUCCGGGAAAGGAGCUCCAGCCUAUGAUUUGAAGCAGAAUGAGAGAUUGUACAUGAACAAUGCUGACUUACGAAGGGGCAGCAAGUCUGCUUUUGAUUUAAAUAAUGACACUGGUCAUAGUGGCAAAGAAGCUGCAUUGCCUACUCGUGCACCAGUCUUCGACUUGAAUGAAAUCUCGGUAAGUAUCAGAAUAAGAAUCUAGUACACUUGUCAUUUAUUUUGUGAGUUAUACGUUGUACAUCAUUUACCUCUAGACUUUCUAAUUUUUACAGACGGGGGAAGAGGAAACACAAGCGAACUUAGAGCAGGUGCAGUUCGAGGAGCCAAAGAGAAGUCAUAUCCGAAACCUGAAUGACGAUCAGCACAAUGAUUUGAAGUUAUUGGUUUGCAGAAAUGUUGGAGAAGGCACUUCUCAGGCGGGAAAGCGAAAAUUAUCAUGGCAAGACCCUGUUGCUUUGAGGGUUUGACCCAUCUUCCACUAUUCAGUUAAAUGUGGUAAGGAAAGUUUUUGCGAGCCCUGAGCGUUAUUGAACCUGAACAGGCCUUACUAGGUCAAUUGUUCUGUUGACAUGUAGGCUUAUGCUUUUCCUUUUUGUGUAAAGGAAGUUCUUAUACAUGUAAUAUGUGCACACACUGUAUUUUGAUUGCCAGCAACGAGAUAUAGUCAGUUUAAUUCGUUCUCUACAUAAAAUAGCGUAUAUUCUUCAGCAGUUUUCUAUACAAGCAAGGGAUUUGGUGUUCUCUGUUUGUUCGAUUCCACAUUGAUGACAUGGGAACUCAACUUAGGUGCUCUUUGUUACUCCUCUUCUGCUACCUGGAAUAGUUUACUAAGUUCUUUUUGGAUUCUCAUCACCGUCGAUACGAGUUCUUCCAGGUUGCUUGAGAUUAGUUCUGAUACCACCUGGUGCAGGAAAAGGGGAAUGGGAUAUGAGAUAGAUGAAGGAUAGCCCGAUGAACUAAGCUCCUGCUAUGCGCAGUGCUCGAGGAAGGGCUGGAUCACCUGGGUCUAUUGUACAAUCUUACCUUGCAUUUCUGCACAUGACAACAAUUUUAUCAGUCCUGCCAAGGCUUUCCUUCUAGUAUCUGAUGAAUAUUUUUCAAUUAUCCAGAAGUAAUCUGAUGAAUGUUUUCGUUUUACCAGUUACACCAAUGCUUUUUUAUUGGAAUGAUAUUGGUCAAUGAUAAGAUCGUCCGCGGCUAGAAGAAUAGGAUUUAGUAGAAGCCAAUUGCCAAGGCUGUUUUCCAGUUGGUCCUAUGCACAAGAACUGCAUGAACUUUACUUAUUUAUCUUGGUUUGAGAUGGUGUUUAAAAGGUCCUUGUGAUCUACAUUAUGCUGUGAUUAGGAACCCAAUGAUGCAUUUUAAGCUUGUUAUGAUCAAGAUGUUAGUUUGAAAAAUUUAGUAACCUGGCUCUUACCCUGUAGAUUGGAUAACUGAGUGGCACCUGAGGGUGCUGUGGCCCAAUAGUCAAUGAAGUAGGAGGAAAAUUAUGAAGUUUAAGUUCAUAUCUAGGUGCACGCAAGUUGGUUCAGGAACCACCGUUAUUAGAAAAAUAGAUUGGAUAACAUCGGAAAGGUUAUUGAAAAAGAUGCAUUAUUACAAGAACGACAUCCCAAUAUAAUUUUACAAGUGGCGGUCUGAAAAGGUUAGUAUGUACGCAGAUGUUACCCUUACUCUAAAGGUAGAGAGGUUGUCUCCGAAAAUCACUCGGCUCAAGAAGAUGAAAAGAAAAAUCAGUUCAUCAUAAAGAAUUUGAAAAAGCUAACAACUUAUCCCCCACCAACCAAAAACAAAAAAGCAUAAACAAAGUUACACAUAUCUAGUCCAACCACACACAACUCAAGGCUGAGUUUAUCAAAAGUCAUACAAGUACUUCUCAAAAAGUGGCAUAUGAUCAGCAUCUAAACAUACAGCCAACCUCAAAUUCUUGUCAUCACUUGGACUUGGCAAUAUGUAAACAGUCCCUUCAUACAAAAUACAUGCAGGUCCCAUAUGAACUGGUUUUCCCCAUCCAAAAUCUGAAUCAUGAACAGGUAACCUAGUCCAACUGUUAAUAUUAAGAUUAGGACUAGCAAAAUAUGUCGGUCCUCGGAUUAAUUUAGAUAAAUCUGUCUGUAAUUCGAGAUAAUCUAUCGCUGAUCUUAAGUAUUCGUCGUCCAUUCGUGCUAAUGCAGUAUGAAUUCUUUGAGCUGUGUUCAUCAAUGGCUCUGAUAAAAUUUCACCUGAUUUUGCUAUUGGUGUAGCUGUGAAAACAACAUUUCCUAAAUAGCCUGGUGGUAAAGGAGGAAAAAGUCUUGACCUACCAUCUGUAGCAACAUGUAACUUUGUCAAUUGGUCAUCGUCUAGGGCACGUGCUUUGCACGUGCAUCGCCAAAUAUGGGCCGCGAGUACUUCAUAUCUACUACCCUCGUGUUUUGACUUGGUUUUGAGUAGGGUCAGUUGGUCACUUGUGAUCUUAAACAUGGCUGUAGUACUGAAUUUUGGACCGUUAACUUGUCCAUGAACGUGCUCUGACGAUGAUUUUAGGGUUGGAGGUGGGUGAUACUCGACGUGUUUAUAAGAGGGGGUUGGUGGGUCCCGUGCACGAAGGAGGGACCUGUCGAUGAACGGUGAGACGGUGACGGAGAGGCCUCGGGCAACUUCUGACCAUGUGUUGAUGAAGUGAAGGGAUGAAAUGCCGUCAGAUAAUGUAUGGAAAACGCCACACCCUAUGGAGACUCCACCACAUUUGAAACGAGUUACCUAAAGAAAAAUCAAAUUAGUAACCAAAGUUAGUUAACAAUCGCCCCUAAGGGGAGAGCACAAUGACCAAAAAUUAAAGUCACAACUCAAACGUACAUUGCAAGUUCGAAUACGUUUAUAUUACCACCUAUGGUUGUAAUAUAUUUUAAUUAAAGAUCUUGUAUUCGAGCUUUGAAAAUUAAAAUAUUUUGAAUUUCGGGAUAAAAACUUUAAAGUUGUUUUUACAAAAUUUCAAGAAAACGCCAAAUUAGUCAUUUUUUUUUCUUCUCUUGAGGUCUGUUUAAUUAUUUUUUUCAUCGAAAAUGAAAUGAACAAUACUGACAAGAUGACGAGUACAAAUAACCACCACUCUAGAACUAGGGAAUGCAAAAGACACGUACUAGAAGACUAGAAAUAUCGAUCCGAAAACAGAAUUUAAUUAUUUCAUUCAACAAAAUUUAAUUAUUCUCUAUUUCAUUUUACAUGAUACUCCUUUUUUUUAAUCUCCUAAAAAAAAUUCAUUUUUGUUUAGGACUUUUUAAAAUUUAGUAUUUGUAUUUUAUAUUCAAUAACAUGGUCAUACAACGAUAUAUUUGCUAUAAUUAUUUAAUAUCAUACAUUUACUGAUGCUUUUAGUAGGGCCGAAUCCAUAAUUUUAACUUUAUGAAUUCAACUUUAGAAAUUAUUUUUAGUACCAAAUAUGUUGUACCAUUGAAAUCAUGAUGUUAAAAUUUGAUGUUUUCUACAAAAUAGUUCAAUUUAACCAAUUGUUAAUAAUGCACGCGCCAAAAGUAUACACUCCUAUUUUAUUUCUUAAAUUUAGCAAUCAAUUAAACACCAUCACAUAUAAUAAAAUACCAAAAGUAUAUACACUACUAUUUUAUUUCUUAAAUUUAGCGAUUAAUUAAACACCAUCACAUAUAACAACAAUAACAAUCAUCCAGUAAUAGUCUUACUUGUGGGGUCUUGGAAAGGUAGAGUGUAUGAAGACCUUACCCCUACACCGGAAGAUAGAGAGGCCGUUUCCGAGAGACCCUCGGCUCAAAGACAAAAACACCAUCACAUAUAAUAAAACAAAAAAAAAAACAAUUUUUGGGGUGCAAUUUUAGCAUGCAGAUCUUGAAACCAAUAAUCUUAUAUAUCUAAGACAAAAUAAAAUAGAAAAAAAUUAUCUAAUUAUUAUAACUCAAAAAAGGCAUAUAAUAUAGAUGAUAGAAUACCUGAAAAAUGACAAGUGGAAAAGAAGAGAUAUCACCAGAAGUAUCAAUAUUAGGAAUUAACAUCUUCUUUAUUUCCAAACUUGGAGUAAAAUCAUCACCAAAAUAAUCAAUAAAUUCAUCAAUUUCAGCUUCAAUAAAAAGAACCCCUUCUCUAUUACAAUUUAUCUCAAUUCUUUCUUUUUCAUUAUUAUUAACCUUAGCCAAUCUUCCAGCCAUUGGAUAAAAUGAAACUAAAACAUUGCUUAAAGCCUCCUUCAUAAUUCUAAAAUCAAAGAAAUUUGGAGAAAUUUCAUUUGAUUUAUAGAAAUAUACUGUCAAAAGAUGAAUUCUUCCCACUAUUAAAUCCAAAUUUGAGUUCCAUAGUUUUUUUGUAGGAGUUGGCUUUGAUGGUUUCACCAUUGUUGAUUCCUUAAUAUUGAUCUUCAUCUUGAAAUUUGAUGAAUAGAAAGAAAGGAGACCAGAAAAAUAGACGAACGAUCUGACUAUAGUAUAGGUAAGAUGUUUCUACGAGCAGAAAAUAGUAGAUUUUUCCUUAUUUUGAAAAAGCUGAUGGCCACGUGUAAAUUUUUUCUAAGGCAAAGAGAAAAGUGUUAGACACUCCUUAUUACAAAAGAGAGAUGAAGAUAGAAUCUUUAACUCAAUGAGGAGGAACAUUUAUAGCCUGAAAUAUUUCACUAUAUUAUGACUUGUCACUAUUAUAAUAUAUUGUUUUUCUUAUGAAUACCUUGUUGUCUUCUACUAAUUUUGAUGACCAAUUAGUGGUCCUUUUUUGAGUUUAAUGAAGCAAUAUAGAUAUUGAAAAUUCAUAUAAUCGAUCAUAGUAACUUACUUGGAAUCAGUGGAAGAGGCAGGAAUUACAUGCAAUGAAUAUUUUCGUCGAAAAUUUAUACAACGCAAAUAAAGAUUUUAUAUCCCCUAAAGACAAGAUAAGUACAUGCUCCUAUUUCUAUUUUCCCCUUGAUGAUACUUCCUUAUAAGAAUGACAUGAUAUUUUUAAAAUCACAAGAUUUAUAAUUUUUUUAUAUGUUAUAUACAUCUUUUUUUGGACUAUACGAUUCAAAAAACUUCCUUUACAUUUAUAACUUCGCGUCAAAUGAAACUAAAAUAAAAAUAGGACGGAGGAAGUAUAUAUAUAAUGAUGCUAAGUUCUAUAUAUAUAUGUAAAAAUAAAUAUAUUAAUAUUACUUUAGUUAUAAAAAAUUCAUUGUAAUUUUUUCUUUUUGGUAAUUAAUGUAAUUAUUCUAAAACUAAUUUUCUUACAUAGGAAAGCAAAGGAGUCCUAAAAGAUAUGUUGUUGCUUUUCAAUUAUUGCUACUAUAUAAUGAAAGCUAUUCGGAAAGUCAAAGUCUAAGGUACUUAUAAAUAAAAAAAAUUAAAAGGAAAGGAUUGUAAAUAGUCAAUUAGUCAAUAUACUUUUAACUGCAAUAUUCUUGUCUUCUCUAUUGUUUUUUUAUAAUUUUUAUAAAACUUUGUAGGGAGAAAUUUAAAAAUAGCCAGAUUUACAAGUGGUCAAAAAAUAGUCACAGUUUUAGAAGUUAUGCCAUU